Molecule: ribosomal RNA, 497 nt
Filed under: uncultured bacterium
Lineage: Bacteria
Description: partial 16S ribosomal RNA
Rfam family: Bacterial small subunit ribosomal RNA
Source: RNAcentral
GAUGAACGCUGGCGGCGUGCCUAAUACAUGCAAGUCGAGCGAACAGACGAGGAGCUUGCUCCUCUGACGUUAGCGGCAGACGGGUGAGUAACACGUGGAUAACCUACCUAUAGGACUGGGAUAACUUCGGGAAACCGGAGCUAAUACCGGAUAAUAUAUUGAACCGCAUGGUUCAAUAGUGAAAGACGGUUUUGCUGUCACUUAUAGAUGGAUCCGCGCCGCAUUAGCUAGUUGGUAAGGUAACGGCUUACCAAGGCAACGAUGCGUAGCCGACCUGAGAGGGUGAUCGGCCACACUGGAACUGAGACACGGUCCAGACUCCUAAGGGAGGCAGCAGUAGGGAAUCUUCCGCAAUGGGCGAAAGCUUGACGGAGCAACGCCGCGUGAGUGAUGAAGGUCUUCGGAUCGUAAAACUCUGUUAUUAGGGAAGAACAAAUGUGUAAGUAACUAUGCACGUCUUGACGGUACCUAAUCAGAAAGCCACGGCUAACUACGUG